ACCACCUCCCGAGCCUACUUUCCGACCCAGCUGUCUGGCUUACCAACCCUCCUUUUCUCCAAUUUCUUCGACAGGCCACGCACCAUAGGCGCCUCAGACCUACCAGAAAUUCAAAUGUUUGUUCAAAUUCAGAACAGACCGUGUCACAUGCUGUUGCUGUUGAGUUUCCAGGGCUGGAGAUGAAAUUAGCUUGGAACUUACCCAGUUGCAGACACAGUGAGAUUUGGGUAUUUUGACAUACCAAGGAAUCAGACCCCGCUUCUGAGUUUAAUAUUACAAAUGUAGAUUCAUUUACUUCGUUUUGUGAACCACGUGGGAUCAAUAAACACACCAUAAAAGCCGAGGUGGUCGAUCCAAUGUUGGAGUUCCAGGUGGUGGUCAUUGGGACCCAAUUUCAAUUCCUUGGGACUCAUCAUAAGCGGAAGUUCACAGAGU
Molecule: long non-coding RNA, 435 nt
Filed under: Physcomitrium patens
Lineage: Eukaryota; Viridiplantae; Streptophyta; Bryopsida; Funariales; Funariaceae
Description: long non-coding RNA (PPAT_LNC004231)
Source: RNAcentral